CCCGACACAAGCAGUGGAGUAUGUGGUUUAAUUCGAAGCAACGCGAAGAACCUUACCAGGGCUUGACAUCCCUUGAAGCAGCUAGAGAUAGCUGUGUCCUUCGGGACAAGGAGACAGGUGGUGCAUGGUUGUCGUCAGCUCGUGUCGUGAGAUGUUGGGUUAAGUCCCGCAACGAGCGCAACCCCUACGUUUAGUUGCUAACGCGUGAAGGCGAGCACUCUAGACGAACUGCCGUUGACAAAACGGAGGAAGGUGGGAUGACGUCAAAUCAUCAUGCCCCUUAUGUUCUGGGCUACACACGUGCUACAAUGGCCGGUACAGACGGACGCAAAGCCGCGAGGUGGAGCAAAUCCUAAAAAGCCGGUCUCAGUUCGGAUUGCAGGCUGCAAUUCGCCUGCAUGAAGUCGGAAUCGCUAGUAAUCGCAGGUCAGCAUACUGCGGUGAAUACGUUCCCGGGCCUU
RNAcentral lists this ribosomal RNA (461 nucleotides) under uncultured Pelotomaculum sp. RNAcentral's name for it is "bacterial SSU rRNA". It matches the Rfam family "Bacterial small subunit ribosomal RNA", at positions 920 to 1382 of the family's 1533-position model. The record is from RNAcentral. Lineage: Bacteria; Bacillati; Bacillota; Clostridia; Eubacteriales; Desulfotomaculaceae.